Molecule: ribosomal RNA, 649 nt
Filed under: Sphingobacterium sp. A37T11
Lineage: Bacteria; Pseudomonadati; Bacteroidota; Sphingobacteriia; Sphingobacteriales; Sphingobacteriaceae
Description: bacterial SSU rRNA
Rfam family: Bacterial small subunit ribosomal RNA
Source: RNAcentral
UGCAAGUCGGACGGGAUUGGAGAGCUUGCUUUCCAUGAGAGUGGCGCACGGGUGCGUAACGCGUGAGCAACCUACCCUUGUCAGGGGGAUAGCCCGGAGAAAUCCGGAUUAAGACCGCAUAACAUUGUGAUAUGGCAUCAUAUUAUAAUCAAAUAUUUAUAGGACAAGGAUGGGCUCGCGUGACAUUAGCUAGUUGGUAAGGUAACGGCUUACCAAGGCAAUGAUGUCUAGGGGCUCUGAGAGGAGAAUCCCCCACACUGGUACUGAGACACGGACCAGACUCCUACGGGAGGCAGCAGUAAGGAAUAUUGGUCAAUGGGCGGAAGCCUGAACCAGCCAUGCCGCGUGCAGGAAGACUGCCCUAUGGGUUGUAAACUGCUUUUGCCAGGGAAUAAAUGUACCGAUGUAUCGGUAUUUGAAUGUACUUGGAGAAUAAGGAUCGGCUAACUCCGUGCCAGCAGCCGCGGUAAUACGGAGGAUCCAAGCGUUAUCCGGAAUUAUUGGGUUUAAAGGGUGCGUAGGCGGCAUGCUAAGUCAGGGGUGAAAGACGGUGGCUCAACCAUCGCAGUGCCUUUGAUACUGGUGUGCUUGAAUGUACAUGAGGUAGGCGGAAUGAGACAAGUAGCGGUGAAAUGCAUAGAUAUGUCUC